RNAcentral lists this transfer RNA (72 nucleotides) under Stegodyphus mimosarum. It matches the Rfam family "tRNA". Rfam says of the family: Transfer RNA (tRNA) molecules are approximately 80 nucleotides in length. Their secondary structure includes four short double-helical elements and three loops (D, anti-codon, and T loops). Lineage: Eukaryota; Metazoa; Arthropoda; Arachnida; Araneae; Eresidae. The record is from Rfam by way of RNAcentral.
GCCUUCGUGGUGUAGUGGUCAGCACGCUCGGCGCUAUUCGACAGGUCCGUGGUUCGAAUCCCGGCUAGGGCU